RNAcentral lists this ribosomal RNA (469 nucleotides) under uncultured Tepidimonas sp. RNAcentral's name for it is "bacterial SSU rRNA". It matches the Rfam family "Bacterial small subunit ribosomal RNA", at positions 335 to 797 of the family's 1533-position model. Lineage: Bacteria; Pseudomonadati; Pseudomonadota; Betaproteobacteria; Burkholderiales. The record is from RNAcentral.
UGCCUACGGGAGGCUGCAGUGGGGAAUUUUGGACAAUGGGCGCAAGCCUGAUCCAGCAAUGCCGCGUGCGGGAAGAAGGCCUUCGGGUUGUAAACCGCUUUUGUACGGAACGAAAAGGCUCUGGCUAAUACCUGGGGCUGAUGACGGUACCGUAAGAAUAAGCACCGGCUAACUACGUGCCAGCAGCCGCGGUAAUACGUAGGGUGCGAGCGUUAAUCGGAAUUACUGGGCGUAAAGCGUGCGCAGGCGGUCUUGUAAGACAGAGGUGAAAUCCCUGGGCUCAACCUAGGAAUGGCCUUUGUGACUGCAAGGCUGGAGUGCGGCAGAGGGGGAUGGAAUUCCGCGUGUAGCAGUGAAAUGCGUAGAUAUGCGGAGGAACACCGAUGGCGAAGGCAGUCCCCUGGGCCUGCACUGACGCUCAUGCACGAAAGCGUGGGGAGCAAACAGGAUUAGAUACCCCAGUAGUCAA